RNAcentral lists this long non-coding RNA (337 nucleotides) under Lathyrus oleraceus (garden pea). Its description in RNAcentral is "Pisum sativum (pea) long non-coding RNA (PSAT_LNC010471)". Lineage: Eukaryota; Viridiplantae; Streptophyta; Magnoliopsida; Fabales; Fabaceae. The record is from RNAcentral.
GGAAAAAGAAUCUUAUCUUGUCUUUAAUAAUUUCUAGGCAUGCAUUAGUUUUGUAGUUUCUUGUUAAUUGUUGUGACGAUGGGGCCCCAAGUGUACCCGACAAUAAUUAUACAAGUUACCGGCUAUAGUAAGUUUUAGUUACCGGCUUAAAUAGUAAGCCUUUUCUUCCCUAUAUAAAGGGAUUUAAGUUUCAUUUGUAAGGACACCUUCGAAGAAAAAAUAUAAAGUUUCUCAAAAUAUUGUCUAUACCUUUUUCUAUACUCCUUGCUUACACUAAAAACAUUCCGAUCCUGCUUCCGCUUAGAAAAACUUUGGUAUCAUCGCCUGGACUUGCCAA